AGACUUCUGCUCAGCACUGUGUGGGCACGCACAGAUUGUGUUUUGUUUACUUGUUUAUCACCUUCCUGUUGGUUUUGUUGAACUUGCUAGGCAUUGACGAUAUCACAAAAAUCCACAACAAAAGCAUGAUCAGCUAAAAUUCAAAGUGCAUGAUCCCAUCACAGCUGCCCUAAGGAAAUGCAGGUUUAUGAACUUAUUAUCAAAUUCAGGGAGUACACCUGCAUUUUGCAUCAUAAUCAGUGGCGGAGCGGGGGGGUGGCUUACUGGGCUUAAGCCCGGGUUGUUUUUUCAGAAGCCCGGGGUCUUUUGGAGUGUAAUUUUUUCAUAGUUAGAUGCCUGACUGACAACUGUAUAAAACAAAAAACUACACGCAAUAUUCGAAGCACAUAGUGCACACUGUGGGAAUUUACAACUUUGCGUAAAUCCCCCCUAAUAUUGGUAUGAUCCUCAGGCACUAAGCGGGCGGGGCAGCUGCUGCCUGCGAGUGCGCUGUUGGAGAAACGGAGCCAGGCAGACAGAUGAGAACUGAAGUUCAACCAGGUACCAAAGCAAAUCAUUCGUACACUGUAAAAUGUAAUAUUGUGUUUAAUUAAAAAUAUUAAAUAGGCUGAACUCAAUUUUUAUCAAUUUGUUAUUAGAACUCAAUUUAAAUAAGUUACCAGUACUUUUUAUGCAAAAAUGCUGAUAAACUCGAUUAAUUUGAGUUGUCCUAACUUAGAAAAACUAAGUAAGCUGGAAGUUUUGCUUCUCAGGGCGGAAGGAUGAAAGAUGUGUUUUGAAAAUGCCACGUCCCCCUCCCUCCUGGAUCAGUCCGCAUGUUCAUGGCGCCAGCAUUUGUUAUGGAAUAUAUUGAGCAAACCUGGAGAUAUUAUUGUUGUCAUUGCUGUGGAUCUUUACUGACUUGGCUCGGGACCAGCACUCCUGUUGGACAGAAAGACAUCAACUCAGUGGUAAGUAUUUUGGUUUUCCAAUAUAUUAGCAACUGUCAGUGACAUUUAUAUUAAUCAGGCUGAACUUUAAUCAUACUUUAGAUCAGCCUGUUUUACUUAUUGUUUUAUUUGUGCUUUGGUUUGGGGAAGUUGUUUCUUUACUGAUCUUUUCCUGUCUUCUGUUAUUAGACUUGAGAUAUGACUGCACUAUGCUGUUGCUGUGACUCCAGUUAAUUCUACAAGACAUGCUGUGUAAGUAAACAAACAACAACAGUUUGGUCUGCAUUUCUUGAAAGAUC
RNAcentral lists this long non-coding RNA (1228 nucleotides) under Oreochromis niloticus (Nile tilapia). RNAcentral's name for it is "lncRNA (ENSONIG00000022687.2)". The record is from RNAcentral. Lineage: Eukaryota; Metazoa; Chordata; Actinopteri; Cichliformes; Cichlidae.